RNAcentral lists this long non-coding RNA (2144 nucleotides) under Anas platyrhynchos platyrhynchos (common mallard). RNAcentral describes it as "lncRNA (ENSAPLG00000017645.1)". Lineage: Eukaryota; Metazoa; Chordata; Aves; Anseriformes; Anatidae. The record is from RNAcentral.
UAUGGUCACUGUGAUAAUAUUUCAAAUUAAGCGUUAAAAUUGCCAAUACGGAAGUAGUUGCAUAGUGUGCCUGUAUCUGUCUAACUAGAAAAACAUUCAACAAGCUUGAGAAAAUUUUGCUAAGUGCAAAAGUGCGAGUGCAUGUGCUCGUGCCACUGUUUUGGUUGGUUUGGUGCUUCCAUUGUCUUGUAAGUUCACAGGAAAAGUAAAGGGAUGGGUUGCAUAAGGGAAGUCAUCAAUAGUAAAUUGAAUGGUAUUGACUGAGUGAGCUACCAACUCACAGUCAUCAGCAAAAAGAAGCUCACUAAUGAAGAAAUCAGCCACAUGUGUCUGCAGACCGAACAACUUGCAUCAGUAAAAAACUGAAUAAAUAUAGCUCUGCCAAUGGCACAAAUUGAUUCCAUCUGCACAACAGAGACAAGAUGGAAAGGAGUAUGGAAACCAUUUAUGAUAUUAAAGAGAUCUUACCAUUUUCCACCUCUCUAACCAUCAUCUUAUUACAGAAGACUUAACUAGGUGAGAAAUAGAAUUUGCAGGGCUUUCACAGGUCUACAAAAGCUUCAAGAGUCCCUUGCAAUUUACAUUGUCAAAACCUUUAGUUAGGUCAACAGUCAGCCAGCAAAGCUGCAAUUUGACUUGGUACUAUUAGUAAGGCUCUAAAGGUCAGGUGUGUGGUGUUACUUUCUUACUAACUCCACACUAAAGUUUUGGGAAGACAGAUUAAACAAAACAGAAAUUGAGUUGCUCCGUUUAGGCACGCUAGGGUUUUCCUAGCAUCAGAGACCAGAAAAGACAAAAUAAUUGUCACAGUUUGCAUCAUGAUUAUUUGUAAUAGAUACUGUUGGUUUCUUUGAAUUGCUGUGAAAUUGACUCUUGCUUUCAGAUAAUGUGGAAAGACCAGCUGACCAUCCAAAAUUCAUGACAACGCUUGAAGACAGAGGUUUGAAGCAAUGUCUCCAUCUCUGAACAUGAGCAGAAGAAGAAAAUUGAAGCAGUUUUCCAAUCUAGUUACUGGAUCACUGGUGAGGGAAAAGCUGGUAAAACAGAUGAAAGCGUCGUGUGGACUGGACUUGAUCUGUGGACUACCUGUAGAACCCGCAGAACUCAUCAGCAUCCCCUCUACUGCUUAUAUUCUACUUCAUGUAAAGGUUGUUGCUAGUUCUGGAAGAAAAAAACAAGCUUGCAAACAGAAAACCAAUUUGCUUAAAGCUUACCUUACACUGAAAGUUGUGGGCACACGGAGCAGAGCUGAUUGGCUAGCUUCAGCAGUGGAGUACCUCAAAAAGAAGUUGAUAUUAACUUCAACACCUGAAAAUCUUUCUCUGAAUAUUAUAUUUGAAUUCAUCUUAACACAGAGCGGGCAGAACAAUAAUAAAUAUCAAGUUUGUGCUGUUUGAAGCAGAUGCCCUGGCAGAAGCAAAUAAGGAACCAUCAACGGCAUGCCGCUCCAAAGGGAAGGGGUGCUGUGAACUAAGCCUGGCAACAAGGCAGGCAGAGGAGUGGCCUUACCAGCAAAGAUGAUGGUACCUGAGCAAAACAAGAAGAGCAGGUCCAAGGGACAGUAAUUAGGAUCAGCCAAAAGACCAGGUUGCUGCAGAAGUUCGUGGGGAUGAGGCAGGUCUGAAGUUGAGUCAAUCCUAAGGGUUGGGUCAGGUUUGGGAUCAACAGGGUGCAUGGCUUGGAUGCAGUGCACCUCGGAUAGCUCCCCUUCUCUUUUUGGCCUGUACAAGGGAAGACUAGCCUCCCAUCUUUAAUAGUUAAACUCACCUGCAGUCCUCGAACAAAACUUAGUACAGAGAUUUGCUCCAUCCCUGGACCACUGGACCGUCUGGGCAUUAGUUCUGCUCCUGAAUUUAAUAUGCUACAAGAGCAAGCCUGGUGAACCUAUUUUAAGGGAUUAUCAGUGAAUAUAUUUCCAUAUAAAUUUUUAAAAGUGUUUUUUUUUUAAGGAUGAUGUAGCCUUCUACAUCUUUAUUAUUGGAAUGUAACAUUUCCAUUGUGAUAUUUUUCUUUUCUGGGUUCAGACCUCUUCAAAAUAAUGAGAAAUCAGAUGGUUCGGGUAACUAAUGCUUGCUUACGUGCUGAGAUAGAUGUUGCUGAAUGUGCUGAAGACAAUAAAAUAAUUAUUUUACUUCUUGUAAGCA